RNAcentral lists this long non-coding RNA (267 nucleotides) under Amphimedon queenslandica. RNAcentral describes it as "uncharacterized LOC109588336". Lineage: Eukaryota; Metazoa; Porifera; Demospongiae; Haplosclerida; Niphatidae. The record is from RNAcentral.
AUUAUCAUGCUCACAAAUAGGGUCGUCUCAUGGUGGCUGAUGAUUGGUCUGAAUGUCCUUCUUGUCAUUUCCCAGCACUUUAUUCAGAGUUUAAGAAGUUAUUAGAGUCAGAGAAUACAUGCCCAUUAUGUUCAGCAGAGAUCUCUUCUAAGUCGAUUCAACCAUAGAUAAUUACCUCUGAUAUACAGACUAAAUGAAGAAAUUAUUGUUACAUUAAUCCAUCACUUAUGUACAUGCAUCCCCCUUUCAUUUAUAAAGAACAUUGCA